RNAcentral lists this ribosomal RNA (273 nucleotides) under uncultured Aeromicrobium sp. RNAcentral describes it as "partial 16S ribosomal RNA". It matches the Rfam family "Bacterial small subunit ribosomal RNA", at positions 524 to 796 of the family's 1533-position model. The record is from RNAcentral. Lineage: Bacteria; Bacillati; Actinomycetota; Actinomycetes; Propionibacteriales; Nocardioidaceae.
UACGUAGGGUCCGAGCGUUGUCCGGAAUUAUUGGGCGUAAAGGGCUCGUAGGCGGUUUGUCGCGUCGGGAGUGAAAACUCAGGGCUCAACCCUGAGCGUGCUUCCGAUACGGGCAGACUAGAGGUAUGCAGGGGAGAACGGAAUUCCUGGUGUAGCGGUGGAAUGCGCAGAUAUCAGGAGGAACACCGGUGGCGAAGGCGGUUCUCUGGGCAUUACCUGACGCUGAGGAGCGAAAGCAUGGGGAGCGAACAGGAUUAGAUACCCUCGUAGUCC